Dermacentor andersoni is the source of this 4420-nucleotide long non-coding RNA. RefSeq lists it as uncharacterized. Lineage: Eukaryota; Metazoa; Arthropoda; Arachnida; Ixodida; Ixodidae. The record is from RefSeq and is a predicted model, not a curated record.
UUCGUCACUCCUGUUCUCAAUUGUGGUCCACAAGCGUACCCAAAGCGCUGUUGCACGACUCUACGGUCUGCGUUCCAAAAGAUUACUUCGGGCACGAGCAUCACCUGUUCCAGGAGCGACUGCUAUUGCUUCUACAUUCUCUCGCCAGUGAAGUCCUGCUGAUAGACUGUACUUGUCUCCUCGCCCUGCACUACUACUGGUUCUGCACUCCUGUUCUCAAUUGUGGUCCACAAGCGUACCCAACGCGCUGUUGCACGACUCUACGAUCUGCGCUCCAAAAGAUUACUUCGGGCACGAGCAUCACCUGUUCCAGGAGCGACUGCUAUUGCUUCUACAUUCUCUCGCCAGUGACGUCCUGCUGAUAGACUGUACUUGUCUCCUCGCCCUGCACUACUACUGGUUCGUCACUCCUGUUCUCAAUUGUGGUCCACAAGCGUACCCAAAGCGCUGUUGCACGACUCUACGGUCUGCAUUCCAAGAGAUUACUUCGGGCACGAGCAUCACCUGUUCCAGGAGCGACUGCUAUUGCUUCUACAUUCUCUCGCCAGUGAAGUCCUGCUGAUAGACUGUACUUGUCUCCUCGCCCUGCACUACUACUGGUUCUGCACUCCUGUUCUCAAUUGUGGUCCACAAGCGUACCCAAGGCGCUGUUGCACGACUCUACGAUCUGUGCUCCAAAAGAUUACUUCGGGCACGGGCAUCACCUGUUCCAGGAGCGACUGCUAUUGCUUCUACAUUCUCUCGCCAGUGAAGUCCUGCUGAUAGACUGUACUUGUCUCCUCGCCCUGCACUACUACUGGUUCUGCACUCCUGUUCUCAAUUGUGGUCCACAAGCGUACCCAAGGCGCUGUUGCACGACUCUACGAUCUGUGCUCCAAAAGAUUACUUCGGGCACGGGCAUCACCUGUUCCAGGAGCGACUGCUAUUGCUUCUACAUUCUCUCGCCAGUGACGUCCUGCUGAUAGACUGUACUUGUCUCCUCGCCCUGCACUACUACUGGUUCUGCCCUCCUGUUCUCAAUUGUGGUCCACAAGCGUACCCAACGCGCUGUUGCACGGCUCUACGAUCUGCGCUCCAAAAGAUUACUUCGGGCACGAGCAUCACUUGUUCCAGGAGCGACUGCUAUUGCUUCUACAUUCUCUCGCCAGUGACGUCCUGCUGAUAGACUGUACUUGUCUCCUCGCCCUGCACUACUACUGGUUCUGCACUCCUGUUUUUGACUGCGGUGGACACCUAGCACGCUCCUGCACAUCGGCUCUCCGUUCUGCGCUCCAGAAGAGAUUACUUCGGGCACCAGCAUCAGCCGUUCCAUGAGCGACUACUAUUCCUUCUAUACGUUCUCUCGCCGACGUCGUCCUGCUGGCAGACUGGACUUAGCCUGGCGCCCUUACACUUAAUUCUGGUUCCCAGUGUUUGCUGUCGCUUGUGGCGCAAGAGAAACGUCCCAGCACUCUUAUUUACAAGAACAUUCCUGGCCUUGCCUCACGAGCAACUACCUUCAGCCCGGUGAUCCUGCCGCGUGCUCUAUACAACAAGCUUCUUCACACUAGUGAACGCGUCGAACCCCUGUCGUGGCGGUGUCCUGAACUGUGUUGACGGCGUGUUCAUGCUCUGAAGGACUGCGUGGGGUCACCGUCGCGAGAUUGUCCAUCGGAUGUGCUCCUACAGUUCGCUGUUGCCUUUUUCUGCAGGCAUGUUUAAGUUUUGUGUAGCAAGAUUUUCUGUUUAGCAAGAGUGGAACGUUGCUCAGCGAGUGGAUAGCGCUUCUAGGAUUCCGGUUAAUACGAAGCAGAACAGUAAAGCUCUGGUUAAGUGGACACCACUCGGUACUUAAUAAGGACUGUCAAUGUUUCCAUGAGCCGAUCUGUAAAUUUUUGGUGGCGAGAGUAAUGGACAUUCAUUCAUUGUGUUCUUCCGUAGUGUGUGUGUGUGUGUGUGUGUGUGUGUGUGUGUGUGUGUGUGUGUGUGUGUGUGUGUGUGUGUGUGUGUGUGUGUGUGUGUGUGUGUGUGUGUGUGUGUGUGUGUGUGUGUGGCCUACUCUGGACUUCUUUUUUUUCGAUCGAGAACGUAUGACAUGAGCUCCGCUGCUACCUGGCGCACUUACAAUUUUUUGUUCUGGUAGCAUUUCCAUCGUCACAUUUGCUUCGCUUUUCCCGGUUCAUUCCCGUUGAAAGGUUCCUGGUUUGAUGGUUUACUAUCGUCUAUGGGCAUGCGCUUUUGGAUUGGUAGAACCGCUAGUUUUUUUGGCUUUGGUCCAUGGAUUGAUUUGUCCUCGUUUCAGCCUUCAGCGGAUUUGUUCAGGCUCCUUUCUCGUGCCAGAAACGGUCUUCACACCUUCUCGGUUCUUCCACGUCGCACAUCACUGACUCGAAGAGAUUAACAUGCCACUACAAAAGGACACAAUGUCAAUGAAUGGGAAAGGGGAGGGUGAUUACUCUCGCCAACAAAGAUUUCCUGAUUUGCUCAUGAUGAUAAUGACUUCAAACUAUAAGACUGGUUGGUUGUAAAGGUCACCGGGCUCGCUGUUGCUAGUUUUUUUUGUGUGCUUGACUCAUCAAACGUUUUUAUGGAUCUACAUGGUCCAACUUGUGUAUUACCUGUCGUUUGUUUAUCGGACAGUGCUACCCGCUGUCGUCGCUUGUUCACCGCUUACACCGCGCCGUAGUUUGAUAUUUGUGUCCACAACUAUCGCGUACUUUGCAAGAUAGGCAAGAACACUGAAGCGCCAGGGCGCCCUUCACGCGACGGUGACGUCGUUGCCUGCUGACUGUAGUUCAGAUUACGCAAACUUGUGUAAUUUCGUGAUUAAAGUGCACCACGUGAGCCAUUGUCAAACAGCUGCUUCGAAGGGGCUACAUGUAUUCCCUUUAUGCCAAGUCGUGUGUAAACGCCUAGAGAAGUGACGAGCACGCUCAAAGAAAUCUUGGUUAGAAAAUGUCCGCUUGCAUUUUUUGUGUUGAAGCGAAUUAAGUUCACCAGAGUUUCCCCCCGUACUUUUUUUUGCUGUACGUUGUCUUUCCAUUGCUCUUCGCAUGCAUCUGAAUGCGUUUGCGUUCAACAGUGAUUGAAUUUGCACACGCUACCAUUGUUGUACUAAUCUCGAUAUAAGGACACACACUUGAUUUAUUACGAAAAUCUUCCGUUCUCAACCUGUAAUAACCUUACCUUUGCGUUGCUCGAUAACCAAAAACUGAGCACUGUUCUUGGUAAAUGUUCACGCGUGGCGCAUUGCUCUGCCUUUUUUUUUUUCGCUGCUUUCAUACGCUGUGACGAGUCGAGCAACCACGCAUGCGCGGUUGUGCUCAGUCAAAUGCAUUUUUUAACCUCUAACAUACAGAGCAAUGGAGCCUUACUGUAGGGUGCCUUAUUUCCCAUCUUCAGUUACACGACAAUCUCGCAAUUGCGCCACACAAUACUCGCAAUCAGUUUGCGACUAGUGCGGUGAUUUGGACUUCGUGAUAGGCAUCCGCUGUGGUUGAUUAGUGGCUAUGGUGUUGGCCUGCUAAGCACGAGGUUGCGCUAUCGAAUCCCGGCCACGGCGGCCGCAUUUCUAUUGAGGCGAAAUGGAAAACACCUGUUCACUUAAUUUAAGUCCGUUAAAGCACCCCAGGUAGUCCAAUUUAUUGGAGUCUCUCACUGCGGCGUGCAUCAUCAGAUCGUGGUUUUCGCAAGUAAAACCUCAUAAUUUUUGUUCGUAUGAGUCAUUGGAAGCUUUUCUCUUUUUUUGUCUAAAGCAAAUGGUACGUGGACGCAGAGAAAAACAAGACACCCACACAGCACUCAAUAGUUCGCAAUACGACAGCGAUGCACGAAAUAACUGCACAUUGAGGUCAUAUUAGAGGAUGUGACGUGGUAUGUAUAGAUAGUCGUCUAAAUGUGUUUGUCCCUUCCGUGCGUUUGGCAUCCAACUGGGAAAGUUCGAAUACUUGCGCGCUUUCUCGUUUACUGAAAACGAAUGCCGGAAUCGUUUUUCCAUCUCCCAGCGAAGGUGCUCUACUACGCUUACCAAUUUCAGAUAAGUUUUACAGCUUGAAGCUAUUCGAACUUUAAUGUAUGCAAGGAAGUCUGUUGCUGCGCCUUCACUUAUGCUGUUAUUUUCGGUUUAUUGGUCUAAGAAAACUGUUGUCAGUUUUGCAUUUUUAUACGCCGAAGUAUCGUGAAACUGAGAACUUACCUGUUCUAUGUAAGUUUCUGUAUGUAUUUGACAUGUAUUCCUGUACAAAUGCAUAAAUGUAUGUUAACGCACUGUAUUGUAUAUAUGCUGUUUGCAGCAUCUGGGAUUAAGUCCAGUCAAGUAGCAUUGAAUCGCUUAAUUCCGUUGACUUAACAGUAGUGUUUAAUGCAAUGAGUACUCAGUAAAACCAGCGCUAAACUGCACCUUGCUCAAAUCAUCUGUCAAAAUAAACAGUCUUAUUCUUGU